RNAcentral lists this ribosomal RNA (853 nucleotides) under Licinopsis obliterata. Its description in RNAcentral is "eukaryotic LSU rRNA". It matches the Rfam family "Eukaryotic large subunit ribosomal RNA", at positions 406 to 944 of the family's 3401-position model. The record is from RNAcentral. Lineage: Eukaryota; Metazoa; Arthropoda; Insecta; Coleoptera; Carabidae.
UGUUCAGGGGUAAACCUGUGGUUCCCGAAAGUUCGAACGGGGAGAUUCAAUUGCCUCGCCGGUUAUGACCAUUUAACAGUGAUAUUUAUUUAUAUAUAUAUGUGAGACAUUAUAUACGGUAUUAUAGUUUAUUCUGUAUUAUUGUUUUAUAGUGCUCCGCUGUUUUAUGAUAUAUUGUUUAUAGCCGGAGGCGUGCACUUCUCCCCUUGUAGGACGUCGUGACCCAUUGGAUUAUGUUGUCUAAGGCUCAUAAUGGAGACCGUGGCAUUUAAGUUUCUACUUUUAUGACCCGGACUUAUGAUGUCCCGACAUCUAUCCGAUGGUAUGAUUAUGAUGAUGGGUCGCUAUGAAAAUUGGCGAGCGUUCUGAUCCAUAACAAAUGCUUAUAUGGUAUAUUAGUGGAAAUCGGAUUAUAUGCCGAUUCUACACAUAUGGUAUUGUUAGUUGUGGUAUUCUCGAACCGUUCCUUAUCAUCAGUCAACGGCGUUUAUGUUUUGGGUAAUUACAGGACCCGUCUUGAAACACGGACCAAGGAGUCUAGCAUGUGCGCGAGUCAUUGGGACUCUGUGAAACCUAAAGGCGUAAUGAAAGUGAAGUAUUUGUGAAUUUUCGUAAUUCACAUGUUUAAGGGAAGAUGGGUAACGUUAUAUAUGUUACCUCGCAUUCCCGGGGCGUCGCGUACUUAUUGCAAGUUGCGGCGCACCAAGAGCGUACACGCUGGGACCCGAAAGAUGGUGAACUAUGCCUGGUCAGGAUGAAGUCAGGGGAAACCCUGAUGGAGGUCCGUAGCGAUUCUGACGUGCAAAUCGAUCGUAUGAACUGGGUAUAGGGGCGAAAGACUAAUCGAACCAUC